RNAcentral lists this ribosomal RNA (433 nucleotides) under uncultured bacterium. RNAcentral describes it as "partial 16S ribosomal RNA". It matches the Rfam family "Bacterial small subunit ribosomal RNA", at positions 29 to 507 of the family's 1533-position model. The record is from RNAcentral.
AACGAACGCUGGCGGCAGGCCUAACACAUGCAAGUCGAGCGGACCCUUCGGGGUUAGCGGCGGACGGGUGAGUAACGCGUGGGAAUAUGCCCUUCUCUACGGAAUAGUCCUGGGAAACUGGGGGUAAUACCGUAUACGCCCUUUGGGGGAAAGACUUAUCGGGGAAGGAUUAGCCCGCGUUGGAUUAGGUAGUUGGUGGGGUCAUGGCCUACCAAGCCGACGAUCCAUAGCUGGUUUGAGAGGAUGAUCAGCCACACUGGGACUGAGACACAGCCCAGACACCUACGGGAGGCAGCAGUGGGGAAUCUUAGACAAUGGGGGCAACCCUGAUCUAGCCAUGCCGCGUGAGUGAGGAAGGCCUUAGGGUUGUAAAGCUCUUUCAGCUGAGAAGAUAAUGACGGUACCAGCAGAAGAAGCCCCGGCUAACUCCGUG